Molecule: ribosomal RNA, 366 nt
Filed under: Sakaina yokoyai
Lineage: Eukaryota; Metazoa; Arthropoda; Malacostraca; Decapoda; Pinnotheridae
Description: partial 12S ribosomal RNA
Source: RNAcentral
UAUUAUUCUAAAUUUAAUUUGUACCUUAGGUUAGUAUUAGAUAUAUACUUAAAAACCAAAAAAUUUGGCGGUAAUUUAAUCUUUUCAGAGGAAUUUGCUUUUAAUCGAUAAUCCACGAAAUAUCUUACUUAUUUUUGUAGAAGAGUUUGUAUACCAUCAUUAUCAGAUAAUUUUAAUAAAAUUAAUUAUUAAGCUCAAUUUCAUUAUAAAAAUUAGAUCAUGGUGCAGCUUAUAAAUAAGUCAAAGUGAAUUACAAUAGAGUUUUCUAGAAUGGAGUAAUAAAUGAAUAUUUAUUGUGAAGGUGGAUUUGAUUGUAUUUUAAAUUUAAAAAGUUUAAAUGAGAUAAGUUCUAAAUUAUGUACAUAU